CCUACGGGAGGCAGCAGUGGGGAAUCUUGCGCAAUGGGCGAAAGCCUGACGCAGCAACGCCGCGUGCGGGAAGAAGGCUUUCGGGCUGUAAACCGCUUUCAGCAGGAACGAAAAUGACGGUACCUGCAGAAGAAGGAGCGGCCAACUAUGUGCCAGCAGCCGCGGUGAUACAUAGGCUUCAAGCGUUGUCCGGAUUUAUUGGGCGUAAAGAGUUCGUAGGCGGUCAAGUAAGUCGGGUGUGAAAAUUCUGGGCUCAACCCAGAGACGCCACCCGAUACUGCUUAACUUGAGUUCGAUAGGGGAGUGGGGAAUUCCUAGUGUAGCGGUGAAAUGCGCAGAUAUUAGGAGGAACACCGGUGGCGAAGGCGCCACUCUGGAUCGAUACUGACGCUGAGGAACGAAAGCAUGGGUAGCAAACAGGAUUAGAUACCCUGGUAGUCCAUGCCGUAAACGGUGGGCACUAGGUGUGGGUUUCUAUUAACGAAAUCCGCGCCGUCGCUAACGCAUUAAGUGCCCCGCCUGGGGAGUACGGUCGCAAGCUAAAACUCAAAGGAUUGACGCUGNGANGCGAGCGACACGAGGAGAG
Molecule: ribosomal RNA, 586 nt
Filed under: uncultured bacterium
Lineage: Bacteria
Description: bacterial SSU rRNA
Rfam family: Bacterial small subunit ribosomal RNA
Source: RNAcentral